Long non-coding RNA from Eriocheir sinensis (Chinese mitten crab), 853 nucleotides. RefSeq lists it as uncharacterized. The record is from RefSeq and is a predicted model, not a curated record. Lineage: Eukaryota; Metazoa; Arthropoda; Malacostraca; Decapoda; Varunidae. The transcript is spliced from 2 exons.
UAAAUAACGCCAUCGAUGAUGACCCAUUCACACCUGCUGUCAACAUUCGCCGUGACCAGGGUCUGCAGUGCAGCACUCAGACCAUUCGGAACAGGCUUCACAACAGGAAUUUCCGAGGUCGGAGGCCAGCCACAAAGCAGAAACUAAGCGAGCGUAACAUGGAGCAGCGCAUGGAGUAUGCGCUCGAGUAUGCUGACAUGCCAGCAGACUUUUGGGAGAAUGUAGUCUUUUCUGAUGAAAAGACUUUCUACUCAGAUGGCACAUCAGCAGCACAAUAUGUUUGGCGGAAAUGUGGCACCAGAUACGACAUUGGAAAUGUAAUUGCUACCAGGAGGAGCGGGCGUGUCUCUGCUGGGUUAUUUGGAUGGAUGCAUGCCAGUGGCGUUGGAGAGUUGGCUGAUGUUGGACCGGGAUAUUUAACAGGUGAUAAGUAUGUUGAAAUCCUGGAGGAGGUCCUUCUUCCCACGGUAGAGGCAUUGCUGUUCCCCGACGGGGAGCCUUUCUACCUUCUCCAGGAUAACAGCCCAAUCCACACAUGCCAGGUUGUUAGAGAGUGGUUUGGCCGACAUCCACACGUCACUCUGAUGCCACAUCCUCCCAAAUCACCAGACCUCAACCCCAUCGAGCACGUCUGGGCAGCAAUGGUCCGACAUAUGCCUGAGCAGGACAGGGGAAGGAACCGUGAUGCUGUCGUCAGAAGUGCAAUGCAAGCAUGGGAGCACCUCCGUCGUCCACCUGGUCAAGAUAUAACUAGUGCGUUGGUGGCAUCCAUGCCUAAACGGCUGAAUGCUGUCUUAGCUGCAGGUGGUGCCUAUACGUCUUACUGAUGUAUAUUAAUAAAGAUAAUGAAACA